Molecule: ribosomal RNA, 432 nt
Filed under: uncultured bacterium
Lineage: Bacteria
Description: partial 16S ribosomal RNA
Rfam family: Bacterial small subunit ribosomal RNA
Source: RNAcentral
ACGAACGCUGGCGGCAUGCCUAACACAUGCAAGUCGAACGAGACCUUCGGGUCUAGUGGCGCACGGGUGCGUAACGCGUGGGAACCUGCCCUUAGGUUCGGAAUAACUCCCCGAAAGGGGUGCUAAUACCGGAUAAUGUCUUCGGACCAAAGAUUUAUCGCCUUUGGAUGGGCCCGCGUUGGAUUAGCUAGUUGGUAGGGUAAAAGCCUACCAAGGCGACGAUCCAUAGCUGGUCUGAGAGGAUGAUCAGCCACACUGGGACUGAGACACGGCCCAGACUCCUACGGGAGGCAGCAGUGGGGAAUAUUGGACAAUGGGCGAAAGCCUGAUCCAGCAAUGCCGCGUGAGUGAUGAAGGCCUUAGGGUUGUAAAGCUCUUUUACCCGGGAUGAUAAUGACAGUACCGGGAGAAUAAGCCCCGGCUAACUCCGUG